This 1124-nucleotide long non-coding RNA is filed under the name Chrysolophus pictus (golden pheasant). Its description in RNAcentral is "lncRNA (ENSCPIG00010012569.1)". Lineage: Eukaryota; Metazoa; Chordata; Aves; Galliformes; Phasianidae. The record is from RNAcentral.
CCAACCAACCUGACCCCCCCCCCAAAUCUCUGUCUUCAGGUGGGCACUGCUUGGAUUUGGGUCACAGCGUCAUCUGCAAAUGCCAACCUGGUUUUUCGGGGGCGAGGUGCGAAAACAACGUGGAUGAUUGCAGCCCCAACCCCUGCGCCAACGGUGGGACCUGCGUGGACGGCACCAACAGCUACAGCUGCUCCUGCACCCUGGGUUACGCUGGUGAUGAUUGUCGUCAGCGUGCUGAUGCUUGUGCCUCCGGACCCUGUUUGCACGGUGCUACCUGCUACACACACUUCUCCGGUCACGUCUGCGCCUGUCCCCCCGGUUACAUGGGACCCCGUUGUGAGGAGGAGGUUGGGGGGGGUCCGCUUGCCCCCUACCACCAGCCCCCAGCUCCCUUAGCCCUCGCCUGUGCCCUCCCCAUAGCUCUGCUGGGCCCUGGGCUGGGUUUGGUGCUGGCAGCUCGUGGGUGGAGACGGAGGUCGGGGGGUGAGAGCGGCCGCACGUUGGAGCCGAUGAGGACCCCCAGCCUGAGCCUUGCUGGGAUGGAGCAGCAGCUGCCCCGUGCCUCUGCCACCCAGGUGGGGUCUGAGCAAAAGAGGGUCUGUCCUCCAAGCUCGGCGCUGCACUCAUUUUCCUCUUCUUCGGUCCCAUUUUUCCAGGUCUGAGGUGAUGAAGGUCCACCCCACGUCUUUUUGGGGUCGUUUCCUCCGUAAAGCUCCUUGUGAGGUCCUCGCCAGCUGCGGUGCUGCCGUGUUUCUGCCACCGCAGGGGGGGGGGGGGGAGGAUGAGCAGCAGCUGGGGGGGGGAGUGGUGGGGGAAAUGGGCGCUGGGGAGGGAAGUGAUGGUGAAAAUGGGCCCCCCCACAGCUGGAGGCCGUGGGGGCUGCAGGCAAAAUCCAGAAAGCAUCAUUUAAAAAACAAACAAACAAAAAAAAACCCAAAAAAGCAGAGGUGCAGAUGUGGAUUUGCUGGUAAAGAGCACCUUUAAUGGCUGGGAUUCGGUCCCAUUUAUUGGGUACCACUGUGCAACCCGAGGGAGUGGGGUUCAGGGCUCCUGGGAGCGCGUUGGUGUCUGUUCCACCUCCCUGAUGUUUGACCCCCCCCCCUCAAUGCAACCCCCCACCCUCA